Molecule: small nuclear RNA, 197 nt
Organism: Cyprinus carpio (common carp)
Lineage: Eukaryota; Metazoa; Chordata; Actinopteri; Cypriniformes; Cyprinidae
Product: U2 spliceosomal RNA
Exons: 1
Source: RefSeq, a predicted model, not a curated record
UCGGCUUCUCGGCCUUUGGCUAAGAAUCAAGUGUAGUAUCUGUUCUAUCAGUUUAAUAUCUGAUACGCCCCUACCGGGGUACUACAUAUUUAAAUUGAUUUUUAUUGUGAUGAAUAACAGAAGAAAAAAAAAAAAAAAAAAAAAAAGGGACACGAGAUGGGGGGGAUUUGUCUGGCUCCCAUGAGGUCUCUGCUCUU